Molecule: long non-coding RNA, 898 nt
Organism: Dreissena polymorpha
Lineage: Eukaryota; Metazoa; Mollusca; Bivalvia; Myida; Dreissenidae
Exons: 2
Source: RefSeq, a predicted model, not a curated record
CAGGGUGAUGAAUGUCCCCCAUAUGGCAAAAUUCAACUUGAGUGGGCAUCCACAACCAAAUGCUGGAAAAAGCUUCAAACAGACUGCAGUGUAUUCUGUCUUCAAGAGCACAUGUGAACAGUUUACCUCAUACCAGAAAGGACCCAGAGACAGUGCAUGGUGUUCAAUAUUUUCAAAUAUGCGCCAGAAAGGAAAAUGGCAGUGUGUUGAAGACAUUGACAAACAAUUUGAAAACUAGCCUUUGUGCUAAGCCUGGCAGUCUGUGGCUGAUGACAUUGUUUGUAGUCUCUCAUGUUUGCUUACACUUAUAAUAACCUUUGUAAGACCUCAAUUCAUGAACUCAUGAAGAAUUAUAGUUCAUGAACUAUUCACUGACAGUCCGUGAACAGAAAAUGGGCCAUUGAAAAAUGGAAGGAAAGUGUUCAUGAACUGUUCAUGAACAGCAAAACCCUAAAGAACUUUUCAAGAACUGUGUUGUUCAUGACCUGUUCAAGAACACUUCAUACCACUGGUGUUCAUGAAUAGUUCAUGAACACUUCAUGCCAUAAGGGUUCAAGAAUAGUUCAUGAACACUUCAUGCCAUUAGGUUUCAAGAAUAUUUCAUGAACACUUCAUGCCAAUAGUGUUCAUGAACAGUUCACAAACUAAAAUUUCAAGAACAUUUCACAGACGUGGCCCAUUUUCUGUUCACUGACUAUUCGUGAACUAUUCAUGAACUCGGUUCAUGAACAGUUCAUGAACAGUUCACGAAUUAUUCGUGAACUGCAGAACAACAUUUCGCAGGGGAGUAUUUGACAUGAUUAUCAGUGUGAGCGUUGCUAGUGAUCUUCAAUCAUAAACUUGUAUCUUAAAUGAAAAUAUUGCAUGUUUUGUUAUUAAUUAAAAUGCUUAUAAUUUA